RNAcentral lists this ribosomal RNA (489 nucleotides) under uncultured bacterium. RNAcentral describes it as "partial 16S ribosomal RNA". It matches the Rfam family "Bacterial small subunit ribosomal RNA", at positions 30 to 507 of the family's 1533-position model. The record is from RNAcentral.
UUGAACGCUGGCGGCAGGCCUCACACAUGCCAGUCGAACGGUAACAGGAAGCAGCUUGCUGCUUUGCUGACGAGUGGCGGACGGGUGAGUAAUGUCUGGGAAACUGCCUGAUGGAGGGGGAUAACUACUGGAAACGGUAGCUAAUACCGCAUAACGUCGCAAGACCAAAGAGGGGGACCUUAGGGCCUCUUGCCAUCGGAUGUGCCCAGAUGGGAUUAGCUAGUAGGUGGGGUAACGGCUCACCUAGGCGACGAUCCCUAGCUGGUCUGAGAGGAUGACCAGCCACACUGGAACUGAGACACGGUCCAGACUCCUACGGGAGGCAGCAGUGGGGAAUAUUGCACAAUGGGCGCAAGCCUGAUGCAGCCAUGCCGCGUGUAUGAAGAAGGCCUUCGGGUUGUAAAGUACUUUCAGCGGGGAGGAAGGGAGUAAAGUUAAUACCUUUGCUCAUUGACGUUACCCGCAGAAGAAGCACCGGCUAACUCCGUG